RNAcentral lists this unclassified non-coding RNA (378 nucleotides) under fungal sp. RNAcentral describes it as "partial internal transcribed spacer region". The stretch from base 1 to 46 matches the Rfam family "Eukaryotic small subunit ribosomal RNA", at positions 1786 to 1831 of the family's 1831-position model. The record is from RNAcentral. Lineage: Eukaryota; Fungi.
AAGUCGUAACAAGGUUUCCGUAGGUGAACCUGCGGAAGGAUCAUUAACAACAUAUCCUAACUAAAACCCCUGUUCUGGUAAAUCAUAGUGAACAGCUUUUGAUUCAGAGACCUCUGAAAUAACCUCGCGUGGUUGGGUAAGGUAAGGCAAGUGACCUGGUACCCUCAAGACCAGUGUUCAGUGAUCUGUCAGUGUUCAUUGACUGGAAUCAAACGUUCUGUCAGUGUGCGUUUGGUUUGGCAAGGGUGGCGCAGUAAACGAUCGCUGGACCGGGUCAGUGAGCUCUGCUCCCGCUGUUACGACAAACCUCUGUUCCCCUCUAGUGAAAGCUAUUGGGUUAUAACUAAACGACUGUUAACAAUGGAUAUCUCGAUUCUC